Molecule: non-coding RNA, 67 nt
Organism: Mycena polygramma
Lineage: Eukaryota; Fungi; Basidiomycota; Agaricomycetes; Agaricales; Mycenaceae
Source: the annotation of a GenBank genome assembly
GCGUCGGUACGUGUAGCGAUCGCCUCAAGUUCUCCUGACGGAUGGGGUUCGAUUCCCCGCUGGUGCA